RNAcentral lists this ribosomal RNA (342 nucleotides) under uncultured bacterium. RNAcentral's name for it is "bacterial SSU rRNA". It matches the Rfam family "Bacterial small subunit ribosomal RNA", at positions 335 to 666 of the family's 1533-position model. The record is from RNAcentral.
ACUCCUACGGGAGGCAGCAGUGGGGAAUAUUGCACAAUGGGGGAAACCCUGAUGCAGCCAUGCCGCGUGUGUGAAGAAGGCCUUCGGUUGUAAAGACACUUUCUAGUAGGGAGGAAGGUAGUGUAGUUAACACCUGCAUUAUUUGUACGUUACCUACAGAAGAAGCACCGGCUAACUCCGUGCCAGCAGCCGCGGUAAGUACGGAGGGUGCGAGCGUUAAUCGGAAUUACUGGGCGUAAAGCGCAUGCAGGCGGCCUGUUAAGUCAGAUGUGAAAGCCCGGGGCUUAACCUCGGAAUUGCAUUUGAAACUGGCAGGCUAGAGUCUUGUAGAGGGGUUAGGAA